GCUUCCGGCUCUGCCCCGAUGCACCUUGGGGCCUCUGGCCCGGAAAGUCGCUCAGGUGUCCGGACUUUCGGGUGUAGAACUGUGGGCGUGCGAUACUUUUUACCACGUGACGAGGACUAAAUGACAACUUAGAGGAGAAGCUUCUCACUUGCAAAAUUGUAAUGCCUUCGUGGGCUCCAGACGGUAUCCGAAAAGGUUACUUCCAAU
This 207-nucleotide long non-coding RNA is filed under the name Homo sapiens (human). RNAcentral describes it as "non-protein coding lnc-RBBP9-3:1". The record is from RNAcentral. Lineage: Eukaryota; Metazoa; Chordata; Mammalia; Primates; Hominidae.